UGCAGGUGAUGUCUGUCUCACGAUGGUCUGCCAAGCCUGAGGCUGUGAGGAGAAGCCCUGAGGGCUCUGCUGAUGCACAGGG
This is a non-coding RNA of Calypte anna (Anna's hummingbird), 82 nucleotides long. NCBI's taxonomy places the organism in Eukaryota, Metazoa, Chordata, Aves, Apodiformes, Trochilidae. The record is from Rfam.